This 764-nucleotide ribosomal RNA is filed under the name uncultured bacterium. RNAcentral's name for it is "bacterial SSU rRNA". It matches the Rfam family "Bacterial small subunit ribosomal RNA", at positions 1 to 812 of the family's 1533-position model. The record is from RNAcentral.
CUUAGAGUUUGAUCCUGGCUCAGGAUGAACGCUGGCGGUAUGCUUAACACAUGCAAGUCGAACGGUGUCUUCGGACAUAGUGGCGGACGGGUGAGUAACGCGUGAGAAUCUAGCUUCAGGUCUGGGACAACCACUGGAAACGGUGGCUAAUACCGGAUGUGCCGGAAGGUGAAAGGCUUGCUGCCUGAAGAUGAGCUCGCGUCCGAUUAGCUAGUAGGUGGGGGUAAGAGCCUACCUAGGCGACGAUCGGUAGCUGGUCUGAGAGGAUGACCAGCCACACUGGGACUGAGACACGGCCCAGACUCCUACGGGAGGCAGCAGUGGGGAAUUUUCCGCAAUGGGCGAAAGCCUGACGGAGCAAUACCGCGUGAGGGAGGAAGGCUCUUGGGUUGUAAACCUCUUUUCUCAGGGAAGAACACAAUGACGGUACCUGAGGAAUCAGCAUCGGCUAACUCCGUGCCAGCAGCCGCGGUAAUACGGAGGAUGCAAGCGUUAUCCGGAAUGAUUGGGCGUAAAGCGUCCGCAGGUGGCUGUGUAAGUCUGCUGUCAAAGAGCAAAGCUCAACUUUGUAAAGGCAGUGGAAACUACACGGCUAGAGUGCGUUCGGGGCAGAGGGAAUUCCUGGUGUAGCGGUGAAAUGCGUAGAGAUCAGGAAGAACACCGGUGGCGAAGGCGCUCUGCUAGGCCGCAACUGACACUGAGGGACGAAAGCUAGGGGAGCGAAUGGGAUUAGAUACCCCAGUAGUCCUAGCUGUAAACGAUGG